This 249-nucleotide unclassified non-coding RNA is filed under the name Hevea brasiliensis (rubber tree). Lineage: Eukaryota; Viridiplantae; Streptophyta; Magnoliopsida; Malpighiales; Euphorbiaceae. The record is from RNAcentral.
CGCAACAACGUCAUGCGGCAGGGAUUCAUGACUCACGUCGGCGCGGAAGUGACCGAUCUCACGCGCGGCGGCUGUGUGCUAUCGGUGGAUCGCCGGCCGGAGUUGUUGCAGCAGAACGGGUUCUUCCANNNNNNNNNCACCGCAUUCCUGAUCGACAACGCAACCACGAUUGCGGCUGCGACAGUGAAGGGGCAGGCGGCGCUGACCGCCGAGUACAAGCUGAACCUGCUCGCACCGGCGUCGGGGGAU